GAUGAAACACAUAUACAAAGUGUCAAUAUAUUUAAAAUCAUAAAUAUCUAAGUUUAAAAAUUAAAAGAUUAAAAGCUGACCUAAUGAGAUCAUUUUUUGGACUGUUAUCAUCCUCAAACCAGCUAUCUUUUGGAUUAACUUCCUCUCCAUUAUAGAGUGUCUCCAACCAUUCAUUCAAAUAGAUGGCUUCAACGACCAAUGUCCUUAUAUGUCUCCGAGUGAAUAUGGACGUACAUGUUCCAUCUUCCAUCCAAAUUUUGAAUUUAACGAUGAACCUCCUAGAUAUGUCCUUUACAAAAGUCAUUACUUUUAGUUUGUACUUCAGCCAGUUAUGAUUUAGCAACAAGUCUCUGUCCAUCUGUCCAAUCAAAU
Molecule: long non-coding RNA, 372 nt
Filed under: Prunus persica (peach)
Lineage: Eukaryota; Viridiplantae; Streptophyta; Magnoliopsida; Rosales; Rosaceae
Description: long non-coding RNA (PPER_LNC001917)
Source: RNAcentral